Molecule: ribosomal RNA, 406 nt
Filed under: uncultured bacterium
Lineage: Bacteria
Description: partial 16S ribosomal RNA
Rfam family: Bacterial small subunit ribosomal RNA
Source: RNAcentral
AUCGAACGCUGGCGGCAGGCCUAACACAUGCAAGUCGAACGAGUGGCGGACGGGUGAGUAAUGUCUGGGAAACUGCCUGAUGGAGGGGGAUAACUACUGGAAACGGUAGCUAAUACCGCAUACCAUCAGAUGUGCCCAGUUGGGAUUAGCUAGUCGGUGGGGUAACUGCUCACAUAGGCGACGAUCCCUAGCUGGUCUGAGAGGAUGACCAGCCACACGGGAACUGAGACACGGUCCAGACUCCUACGGGAGGCAGCAGGGGGGAAUAUUGCACAAUGGGCGAAAGCCUGAUGCAGCCAUGCCGCGUGUAUGAAGAAGGCCUUCGGGUUGUAAAGGACUUUCAGCGGGGAGGCGGUACCCGCAGAAGAAGCACCGGCUAACUCCGUGCCAGCAGCCGCGGUAAUAC